UACCUGGAGAGAGUCUUCCUCGUGCUGCCUUCAGGUCCUGUCUGCUGACUCUCAUGACAACAGUGACAUGGUUCUGUUUCUUCUAUGUUAAAGGGACUGUUGUCAGGAACGAGUUUCACCCAGCUCACAGCCUGGAUCCAUGUGCGUUCCAGAUGUUUCCGUCAGGACAGACGUGCUGAGAGAAGUCACUCGGCACCACCUGUGGUCAACACUCUGACACAGUGGCAUCCUUCAUGAGAGCUGCUCAGGUGACCGCGCUGGUGAGAAGAACUGGAACUGUGUUUGGAGUGAAGGGAGCAUCAGUCCAGGAGAGGAGUUUUGGGUCUCGUGGCAGGACGUUGUGGUUGGUUGACCUGGAACUGAUUCUGUUUAUGGACGGACUGGAGGGAAAUCCUGGAGCCUCAGAAAGAAAAGUGAUAAUAGAGCUGCUGUGUGCUGUUCUAUAUUUCUAUAUGCUGUUAAGUGUUUCUAUCAGCUGUGGUCGAAUGUUCUUCAAGUCAAACGGAGGAGUUGACAGGAAUGUCACUCAACACUACAGGGAAUGAAAUAAACAAAAGUCCCCAGGCCUGACUGACCUCCAGGCCUUUAUAUUGUCACUGAGAGUGACCCCCAGAAUACCUGACCACCACCAGCCCCCUCCCUUAAAUACUCAGU
This is a long non-coding RNA of Cynoglossus semilaevis (tongue sole), 654 nucleotides long. RefSeq lists it as uncharacterized. The record is from RefSeq and is a predicted model, not a curated record. Lineage: Eukaryota; Metazoa; Chordata; Actinopteri; Pleuronectiformes; Cynoglossidae. The transcript has 3 exons.